This 74-nucleotide transfer RNA is filed under the name Photobacterium leiognathi subsp. mandapamensis. Its description in RNAcentral is "tRNA-Gly". It matches the Rfam family "tRNA". Rfam says of the family: Transfer RNA (tRNA) molecules are approximately 80 nucleotides in length. Their secondary structure includes four short double-helical elements and three loops (D, anti-codon, and T loops). The record is from RNAcentral. RNAcentral also lists the same sequence under 1 other name. Lineage: Bacteria; Pseudomonadati; Pseudomonadota; Gammaproteobacteria; Vibrionales; Vibrionaceae.
GCGGGUAUCGUAUAAUGGUAUUACCUGAGCUUCCCAAGCUCAUGACACGGGUUCGAUUCCCGUUAUCCGCUCCA